UCGAAGGUAGCAUAAUCAGUAGUCUUUUAAUUGAAGGCUGGUAUGAAUGGUUGGACGAAAUAUUAACUGUUUCAUAAAAAUUUAUAAUAAAAUUUUAUUUUUUAGUUAAAAAGCUAAAAUUUAUUUAAAAGACGAGAAGACCCUAUAAAUCUUUAUAUAAUUAUUUAUUAUAAUUUUUUAGAUUUAUUUUGUUAUAAUUAAUAAUUAUAUUUUAUUGGGGUGAUGUUAAAAUUUAAUAAACUUUUAAUUAAAAAAAUCAUUAAUUUAUGAAUAGUUGAUCCGUUAUUAACGAUUAAAAAAUUAAGUUACUUUAGGGAUAACAGCGUAAUUUUUUUGGAGAGUUCUUAUCGAUAAAAAAGAUUGCGACCUCGAUGUUGGAUUAA
This 383-nucleotide ribosomal RNA is filed under the name Stevenia atramentaria. RNAcentral's name for it is "partial large subunit ribosomal RNA". The record is from RNAcentral. Lineage: Eukaryota; Metazoa; Arthropoda; Insecta; Diptera; Rhinophoridae.